Long non-coding RNA from Prunus persica (peach), 2697 nucleotides. RefSeq lists it as uncharacterized. Lineage: Eukaryota; Viridiplantae; Streptophyta; Magnoliopsida; Rosales; Rosaceae. The record is from RefSeq and is a predicted model, not a curated record. The transcript is spliced from 6 exons.
ACAACGCAUCUGCUACUUCCGGAAUCAACUGAGGAAUGCACAUAAAAUGGCCCCUAUCUCUAUGAAACCCUCAGUUUCCCCCAAAAUCCCUACCAUGGCCCUAGCUUCCAGUGUUCGCCUUUCUUCCUCCAUCCUCCGCUACCGCCUCGCUGCCCCACUCUACCCGACCCGAUUUUCCAGUCUCCGUACCUGUCGGAGCUCCGCUUCCUGUCCGCAUCGUCCUCCCGUCCCGGGACCCACAUCCGCCCAAUCAAAGCGAGGCUCCAGGACGACCCCCAAAAGGAGGACCCAGGCGAGGGGCAGAACGGGAAUGGAAGUGUGCUGGUCAAGGACACAAGUGAGAACAGCGAAGAAAGAAUCGUUCGUGUUGAGCUCCACAAGUAGGCCACUGAAGCGUACAUGGCUAUGUCUGUCCUGCUCGGCCGCGCCCUGCUGGAUGUUCGCGACGGUUUGAAGCGGGUGCACCGUCGUAUUUACUAAGGUUGAAUGGUGAAUGAUGUGGGAGCACUACCUGGCUGGAUUUACUAGGUUGAUGAAAACAGCGACAGCGACUCUACGUAGAUUUUCUUUGCGAUUAGCCUUGAAGCCCUGACAGACAUAACCACGCUAAACCAGUCCAGAUUCUUCAAAGGGAUUUGAAAACGCUCUUGACAUUCGGUGAUGAGUUUUUUGAUGAAGUAUCAUCACUGUUUCUGCCGAUGGUCAUUUACAGGAUUUCUCCCUACGAUUCCCACUAAUUCAAGGGCAUGGGAAUUUCGGGUCGAUUGAUGCUGAUCCUGCAGCUGCCAUGCGUUACACAGAGUGCAUAUUGGAGUAUUCAUAAUGGGCAACCUAAGCAGAUGGGUCUAAAGGAGUUGCUGCAGCAGAUUCUAAACACGCGUCCAAAGGAUCAAGAGCUCUGGGGACAUCAGAUCAGAUUAUGGUAUUAAAGUAUUGGAAAAUGCCGAAGGUGAACUGGUGCGUUCACUUGAGAAUCGUUGAGUUUCAGCAAGUGAGGAUGGUAUUAAGGUACUUGAAAAAACAUUCACUUGAGAAUCAUGAAGUUUUUGCCUUUGGGCUGUCUUCCUGAAGUGUUGGGAAGGUAAAAUUGUUGCAUCAGAUUUAUCAAGCGACUCAAAUUUACUAAGUGAUUAGAAAUGUUAACUAAAAAAAUUAUGUUGCAAGAAUCUAUAAUUGACACAUUUAGUACUUCCAAUUCUGCCCAUGAAACAAACAACGAAGUGCUCAAAAUCGAGGUUUUAGUAGUAAAGGAGUAUGAUACCUUGCGUUAAGUAAGGGAAGUUCUUUCGAGAGCCAUGUUGGACUUGGGUUCGUUGGAAACAAGGCUAGCAUUUCAUUAUUCAUACGAAGAUACCCCUUUCAUGGUAUCUUGUGAUGCACUUGAGCAUCCUAACAUGAUCGUUAUGGACCACAGCUUUGUUGUUUAGUUAGGUUAGGUAAAAUCAAGAUACAUGUGGACGGAUGACGUGGGAAGAAGUGAGGACCGGAGGUUGGUGUGAUGGUGGUUACAGUGGUGUGAGCUGGUCAUGUAGAGGACGAAGAACUGUAGGCUUUGAGGGAACAAUGGAAAUAAGGUGGCAAAAUAGCUUUUCCUUUUCUUGGGCUGAUUGAUGUUGUGUUCUUAGGGGAGUAACACGAUGAUCUAGAAGAGAUUGCCUCUUUACUUUGGAGCUGCUUUGACUUUGCAAAAGGGAGGAAAGACAGAGUCUAUUUAGGAACUGCUCGGUCGCACAAAAGAGAGGAGGGACUUGACCUUUCAUGUUUCCUAGCUGCCUAUACAGAAAUCUCAAUAUUAGAGGAGGACUAACUGCUGAGAGUAGUACUUAAUUGUGCUUGGGCAAGAAGAAAACAGAGUCAAAGCAUCUCCAAAGUAGAGGGGCAAUAUCUUCUAGAUCAUCGUGUUACUCUCCUAAGAACACAGCAUUAAUCAGCCCAAGAAAAGGAGAAGCUAUUUUGCCACCUUAUUUCCAUUGUUCCCUCAAAGCCUUCAGUUCUUCGUCCUCUACAUGACCAGCCCACACCACUGUAACCACCGUCACACCAACCUCCGGUCCCUACUUCUUCCCACGUCAUUCGUUCACAUGUAUCUUGAUUUUACCUAACCUAACUGAACAACAGAACUGUGGUCCAUAACGAUCAUGUUAGGAUGCUCAAGUGCAUUACAAGAUACUAUGAAAGUGGUAUCUUCGUAUGAAUAAUGAAAUUCUAGCCUUGUUUCCAACAAAUCCAAGUCCAACAUGGCUCUCGGAAAAGCUUCCCUUAUUUAACACAAAGUAUCAUACUACUAAAACCUCGAUUUUGAGCACUUCGUUGUUGUUUUAUAGGCAGAAUUGGAAGUACUAAAUGUGCCAAUUAUGGAUUCUUUUAACAUAAUUUUUUUUAGUUAACAACCUUUCUAAUCACUUAGUAAAUUUGAGUCUCUUGAUAAAUCUAAUGCAACAAUUUUACCUUCCCAACAGUUCAAGAAGACAGCCCAAAGGCAAAAACUCCAUGAUUCUCAAGUGAAUGUAGUGGUUGAACACCUUCGGCAUUUUCCAGUACCUUAAUACCAUCCUCACUUGCUGAAACUGCUAGCAUUCUUCCUUCCUUUUUAAAUUGUAAACAAUGAGAAUCCUAACACAGAUAUUAAAUCAAGUGUUCUGUGAACUCUAACAUUAACCUCGAAAUAUAUAACAGUGAACGUGAUGACCAAAGGUA